GACGAACGCUGGCGGCGUGCUUAACACAUGCAAGUCGAACGGUAAGGCCCUUCUUUUGUGGGGUGCUCGAGUGGCGAACGGGUGAGUAACACGUGAGUUACCUGCCCUUUUCUUUGGGAUAACUUCAGGUAACUUUGGCUAUUACCUUAUAGUAUCUCCUGCUGCUUGGUGGUGGUUGGAUAUUUUCGGCGGUUGGGGAUGUACUCGCGGCUUAUCAGCUUGUUGGUGGGGUAGUGGCUUACCAAGGCUUUGACGGGUAGCCGGCCUGGGAGGGUGACCGGAAAAAAGGGGAAGGAGAUAGGGACAAGAAGCAAAGGGGAGGAAAAAGGGGGAAAAAUAGAAAAAGGGGAGGAAGCAGGAGGAAGAAAGGCGGGGGGGGGGAAGAGGGCAAUGGGGUGGAAAAAAGAUUGAGAAGGAGAAGAAGAGAGAGUGAGGGUAAGGGGAAAAGAAGCACCGGCUAACUACGUG
This 468-nucleotide ribosomal RNA is filed under the name uncultured bacterium. RNAcentral describes it as "partial 16S ribosomal RNA". The stretch from base 20 to 332 matches the Rfam family "Bacterial small subunit ribosomal RNA", at positions 47 to 358 of the family's 1533-position model. The record is from RNAcentral.